Molecule: ribosomal RNA, 437 nt
Filed under: uncultured Oscillospiraceae bacterium
Lineage: Bacteria; Bacillati; Bacillota; Clostridia; Eubacteriales; Oscillospiraceae
Description: bacterial SSU rRNA
Rfam family: Bacterial small subunit ribosomal RNA
Source: RNAcentral
ACGGAAGGCAGCAGUGGGGAAUAUUGGGCAAUGGGCGAAAGCCUGACCCAGCAACGCCGCGUGAAGGAAGAAGGUUUUCGGAUUGUAAACUUCUUUUAUCAGGGACGAAGGAAGUGACGGUACCUGAUGAAUAAGCCACGGCUAACUACGUGCCAGCAGCCGCGGUAAUACGUAGGUGGCAAGCGUUAUCCGGAUUUACUGGGUGUAAAGGGCGCGUAGGCGGGGAUGCAAGUCAGAUGUGAAAUCCAUGGGCUUAACCCAUGAACUGCAUUUGAAACUGUAUCUCUUGAGUGUCGGAGAGGUAGACGGAAUUCCUAGUGUAGCGGUGAAAUGCGUAGAUAUACGGAGGAACACCAGUGGCGAAGGCGGCCUGCUGGACGACAACUGACGCUGAGGCGCGAAAGCGUGGGGAGCAAACAGGAUUAGAUACCCUGGUA